CGAGUUCUCAAACACUCGGAAAAGCUGGUAAUUUUCCUCAACAUAAAUAUCAUGUAAUGCUUAAUGGUCACAAAAGAUCAACAUACAGUAUUUAACAAUACACAGUGUAGAAUAUGUCAAGGUCUAAAUUGUCUAAAAAAGUGUGAAAUAAAUACAACAAAAGUAUCUACCAUCAGUAACACAGCCUCCAAACAACAACAUUAACAUACAUACAGACUGACGUAAGUUCCUGACUUAAAGGACACAAUGACUAGGCAACUACAGACUGACGUAAGUUCCUGACUUAAAGGACAUAAUGACUAGGCAACUUAUUACAGACUGACAUAAAUUCCUGACUUAAAGGACGAGCAUAUGAAUAUAUAUUGGGGUACUUUAUUAACCUGGAUUCAAAACUAGAUUUUUAAGAACUGAACUCACUUAUUUCAGGUAUUCUGAUAUAACUAUGAAUUGAGUCCAUUGUCUCAUCAAAGCAUUG
Molecule: long non-coding RNA, 475 nt
Filed under: Mytilus galloprovincialis (Mediterranean mussel)
Lineage: Eukaryota; Metazoa; Mollusca; Bivalvia; Mytilida; Mytilidae
Source: RNAcentral